Molecule: ribosomal RNA, 358 nt
Filed under: Escherichia coli
Lineage: Bacteria; Pseudomonadati; Pseudomonadota; Gammaproteobacteria; Enterobacterales; Enterobacteriaceae
Description: partial 23S ribosomal RNA
Rfam family: Bacterial large subunit ribosomal RNA
Source: RNAcentral
UAGCGCCUCGUGAAUUCAUCUCCGGGGGUAGAGCACUGUUUCGGCAAGGGGGUCAUCCCGACUUACCAACCCGAUGCAAACUGCGAAUACCGGAGAAUGUUAUCACGGGAGACACACGGCGGGUGCUAACGUCCGUCGUGAAGAGGGAAACAACCCAGACCGCCAGCUAAGGUCCCAAAGUCAUGGUUAAGUGGGAAACGAUGUGGGAAGGCCCAGACAGCCAGGAUGUUGGCUUAGAAGCAGCCAUCAUUUAAAGAAAGCGUAAUAGCUCACUGGUCGAGUCGGCCUGCGCGGAAGAUGUAACGGGGCUAAACCAUGCACCGAAGCUGCGGCAGCGACGCUGAUGCGUUGUUGGGUA